RNAcentral lists this ribosomal RNA (2903 nucleotides) under Enterobacter hormaechei. Its description in RNAcentral is "23S ribosomal RNA". It matches the Rfam family "Bacterial large subunit ribosomal RNA". Lineage: Bacteria; Pseudomonadati; Pseudomonadota; Gammaproteobacteria; Enterobacterales; Enterobacteriaceae. The record is from RNAcentral.
UUAAGCGACUAAGCGUACACGGUGGAUGCCCUGGCAGUCAGAGGCGAUGAAGGACGUGCUAAUCUGCGAAAAGCGCCGGCGAGGUGAUAUGAACCCUUGACCCGGCGAUGUCCGAAUGGGGAAACCCAGUGCAAUCCGUUGCACUAUCGUUAACUGAAUACAUAGGUUAACGAGGCGAACCGGGGGAACUGAAACAUCUAAGUACCCCGAGGAAAAGAAAUCAACCGAGAUUCCCCCAGUAGCGGCGAGCGAACGGGGAGCAGCCCGGAGUCUGAAUCAGCUUGUGUGUUAGUGGAACGGUCUGGAAAGUCCGACGGUACAGGGUGAUAGUCCCGUACACGAAAGCACACUUGCUGUGAACUCGAAGAGUAGGGCGGGACACGUGGUAUCCUGUCUGAAUAUGGGGGGACCAUCCUCCAAGGCUAAAUACUCCUGACUGACCGAUAGUGAACCAGUACCGUGAGGGAAAGGCGAAAAGAACCCCGGCGAGGGGAGUGAAAAAGAACCUGAAACCGUGUACGUACAAGCAGUGGGAGCCUACUUGUUAGGUGACUGCGUACCUUUUGUAUAAUGGGUCAGCGACUUAUAUUCUGUAGCAAGGUUAACCGUAUAGGGGAGCCGAAGGGAAACCGAGUCUUAACUGGGCGUUAAGUUGCAGGGUAUAGACCCGAAACCCGGUGAUCUAGCCAUGGGCAGGUUGAAGGUUGGGUAACACUAACUGGAGGACCGAACCGACUAAUGUUGAAAAAUUAGCGGAUGACCUGUGGCUGGGGGUGAAAGGCCAAUCAAACCGGGAGAUAGCUGGUUCUCCCCGAAAGCUAUUUAGGUAGCGCCUCGUGAACUCAUCUUCGGGGGUAGAGCACUGUUUCGGCUAGGGGGCCAUCCCGGCUUACCAACCCGAUGCAAACUACGAAUACCGAAGAAUGUUAUCACGGGAGACACACGGCGGGUGCUAACGUCCGUCGUGAAGAGGGAAACAACCCAGACCGCCAGCUAAGGUCCCAAAGUCAUGGUUAAGUGGGAAACGAUGUGGGAAGGCACAGACAGCCAGGAUGUUGGCUUAGAAGCAGCCAUCAUUUAAAGAAAGCGUAAUAGCUCACUGGUCGAGUCGGCCUGCGCGGAAGAUGUAACGGGGCUAAACCAUGCACCGAAGCUGCGGCAGCGACACUAUGUGUUGUUGGGUAGGGGAGCGUUCUGUAAGCCGUUGAAGGUGUGCUGUGAGGCAUGCUGGAGGUAUCAGAAGUGCGAAUGCUGACAUAAGUAACGAUAAAGCGGGUGAAAAGCCCGCUCGCCGGAAGACCAAGGGUUCCUGUCCAACGUUAAUCGGGGCAGGGUGAGUCGACCCCUAAGGCGAGGCCGAAAGGCGUAGUCGAUGGGAAACAGGUUAAUAUUCCUGUACUUGGUGUUACUGCGAAGGGGGGACGGAGAAGGCUAUGUCAGCCGGGCGACGGUUGUCCCGGUUUAAGCAUGUAGGCGGAGGUUCCAGGUAAAUCCGGUACCUUGUUAACGCUGAGGUGUGAUGACGAGGCACUACGGUGCUGAAGUGAUAAAUGCCCUGCUUCCAGGAAAAGCCUCUAAGCAUCAGGUAACACGAAAUCGUACCCCAAACCGACACAGGUGGUCAGGUAGAGAAUACCAAGGCGCUUGAGAGAACUCGGGUGAAGGAACUAGGCAAAAUGGUGCCGUAACUUCGGGAGAAGGCACGCUGAUGUGUAGGUGAAGCCCCUGCGGGCGGAGCUGAAAUCAGUCGAAGAUACCAGCUGGCUGCAACUGUUUAUUAAAAACACAGCACUGUGCAAACACGAAAGUGGACGUAUACGGUGUGACGCCUGCCCGGUGCCGGAAGGUUAAUUGAUGGGGUUAGCGGCAACGCGAAGCUCUUGAUCGAAGCCCCGGUAAACGGCGGCCGUAACUAUAACGGUCCUAAGGUAGCGAAAUUCCUUGUCGGGUAAGUUCCGACCUGCACGAAUGGCGUAAUGAUGGCCAGGCUGUCUCCACCCGAGACUCAGUGAAAUUGAACUCGCUGUGAAGAUGCAGUGUACCCGCGGCAAGACGGAAAGACCCCGUGAACCUUUACUAUAGCUUGACACUGAACACUGGUCCUUGAUGUGUAGGAUAGGUGGGAGGCUUUGAAGCGUGGACGCCAGUCUGCGUGGAGCCAACCUUGAAAUACCACCCUUUAAUGGCUGGUGUUCUAACGUAGACCCGUAAUCCGGGUUGCGGACAGUGUCUGGUGGGUAGUUUGACUGGGGCGGUCUCCUCCCAAAGAGUAACGGAGGAGCACGAAGGUUGGCUAAUCCUGGUCGGACAUCAGGAGGUUAGUGCAAUGGCAUAAGCCAGCUUGACUGCGAGCGUGACGGCGCGAGCAGGUGCGAAAGCAGGUCAUAGUGAUCCGGUGGUUCUGAAUGGAAGGGCCAUCGCUCAACGGAUAAAAGGUACUCCGGGGAUAACAGGCUGAUACCGCCCAAGAGUUCAUAUCGACGGCGGUGUUUGGCACCUCGAUGUCGGCUCAUCACAUCCUGGGGCUGAAGUAGGUCCCAAGGGUAUGGCUGUUCGCCAUUUAAAGUGGUACGCGAGCUGGGUUUAGAACGUCGUGAGACAGUUCGGUCCCUAUCUGCCGUGGGCGCUGGAGAAUUGAGGGGGGCUGCUCCUAGUACGAGAGGACCGGAGUGGACGCAUCACUGGUGUUCGGGUUGUCAUGCCAAUGGCACUGCCCGGUAGCUAAAUGCGGAAGAGAUAAGUGCUGAAAGCAUCUAAGCACGAAACUUGCCCCGAGAUGAGUUCUCCCUGAGACUUUAAGUCUCCUGAAGGAACGUUGAAGACGACGACGUUGAUAGGUCGGGUGUGUAAGCGCAGCGAUGCGUUGAGCUAACCGAUACUAAUGAACCGUGAGGCUUAACCUU